UGGGGAAUAUUGGGCAAUGGGCGCAAGCCUGACCCAGCAACGCCGCGUGAAGGAAGAAGGCUUUCGGGUUGUAAACUUCUUUCUUGGGGACGAAGAAAGUGACGGUACCCGAGGAAUAAGCCACGGCUAACUACGUGCCAGCAGCCGCGGUAAUACGUAGGUGGCAAGCGUUAUCCGGAUUUAUUGGGUGUAAAGGGCGUGUAGGCGGGAAUGCAAGUCAGAUGUGAAAACUAUGGGCUCAACCCAUAGCCUGCAUUUGAAACUGUAUUUCUUGAGUGCUGGAGAGGCAAUCGGAAUUCCGUGUGUAGCGGUGAAAUGCGUAGAUAUACGGAGGAACACCAGUGGCGAAGGCGGAUUGCUGGACAGUAACUGACGCUGAGGCGCGAAAGCGUGGGGAGCAAACAGGAUUAGAUACCC
This 417-nucleotide ribosomal RNA is filed under the name uncultured bacterium. Its description in RNAcentral is "bacterial SSU rRNA". It matches the Rfam family "Bacterial small subunit ribosomal RNA", at positions 355 to 787 of the family's 1533-position model. The record is from RNAcentral.